AAAACUUUCCCUGGUAUGAAAGACAGGAAGGCCUCACUUAUCAUCAUUGGUAGAGUAAACCUUGAUAAGAGAGGAGGAUCUCAAGUGAGAAGUGUCACACAGUCGUCAGUAGAGAGCAGUAGCGCUCUGUGUUUGUGGUUUGAGGGAGCAGCAUGCAGAGCAGCAUGAGUCAGUUAAGAUGAGCAACACUUUGUCCACUGACCUCUUUCACCUUGCGGAGAGAAUUAAACGUGCUGCACAAAGGGAGAGCCGUAACCAAGUCAUGUGGACACUUCCAAAUCAUGCCAGGCUGUUUUCAAUAAGUGAUCCUUUGGAAAAGUGCGUGACCUUCGAUGUCUUCAGUGCCUGUGAAGUCAGUGAACCACCUUGGAAAUGAUGGAACAGAGCGGCUACAGAAAUAAAAAAAGAUCUCCUGUAUUGAUUCGUCUGGAAGUGAAAGAGAGACAGCUCUCCUGGCGAUCCAACUGAGGUGGCUUUUGACCUGAAAAAUGACAGGACGAGCACCUGAACAGCACACAACAAGCACCGAGCUGAAUGAUCCUCUUAAGAAAAUUGCCUUCAAAUGAACAAAAAGCACGCCAUUCUUUUGUUCCUCCAAUAAAAGAUGUAACAGCUGCUUCUCAGGGAGUGAAUCGUAAAUGAGGCCUGGCAUUGCCCUCGCUGUCAGAUCCCUCCAUGACCUCGACUUUCUCCUGCUUCCUACCUCCUCCUGUCUCCUGACUCGCCUCCUUCCCUUUCAUGUCAUCCUCCAUCCUCCACCUCUCUCCUCUGUUUCCCCUCUGCUCCUGAAGACGAGCCCCUUGUGUUGGGCGUGUUGACAGGGCUUUCUCACUCGGAUGCAACCAGAGGGAAGCUGAUGUGUCCCGGGCUGCCUGGAGCAUCACGGCAUGUGAUGGCACCUCAGCCUCUGCUCUUAACACAAUCCACAGGAGUACAUGAUACAGAGAGAAUAAGAAAAAAAAGAAGAAAAAAAGAGUAAAGAUG
Notolabrus celidotus (New Zealand spotty) is the source of this 984-nucleotide long non-coding RNA. RefSeq lists it as uncharacterized. The record is from RefSeq and is a predicted model, not a curated record. The transcript is spliced from 3 exons. Lineage: Eukaryota; Metazoa; Chordata; Actinopteri; Labriformes; Labridae.